GGACCCGCACAAGCGGUGGAGCAUGUGGUUUAAUUCGAAGCAACGCGAAGAACCUUACCAAGGCUUGACAUCCUUCUGACGUACUCGUAACGGAGUAUUUCCUUCGGGACAGAAGAGACAGGUGGUGCAUGGUUGUCGUCAGCUCGUGUCGUGAGAUGUUGGGUUAAGUCCCGCAACGAGCGCAACCCUUAUCUUUAGUAACCAGCACGUUAAGGUGGGGACUCUAGAGAGACUGCCAGGGUGAACCUGGAGGAAGGUGGGGAUGACGUCAAAUCAUCAUGCCCCUUAUGUCUUGGGCUACACACGUGCUACAAUGGCUGCGACAGAGGGAAGCGAAGGAGCAAUCUGGAGCAAAACCCAAAAAAGCAGUCCCAGUUCGGAUUGUAGUCUGCAACUCGACUACAUGAAGUUGGAAUCGCUAGUAAUCGCGAAUCAGAAUGUCGCGGUGAAUACGUUCCCGGGUCUU
Molecule: ribosomal RNA, 466 nt
Filed under: uncultured bacterium
Lineage: Bacteria
Description: bacterial SSU rRNA
Rfam family: Bacterial small subunit ribosomal RNA
Source: RNAcentral